AAAAAAAAUGGAAAAAGAACUUGAUCUAAGCAAGUCUGAAAUCUUAAAUGUAACAAACAAACACCCAAUUGGCAACGGCGCCAAAUUGAUAAUAGGUUUUUAGUCAAUUAUCCUAAAACACCAAUCAUGUCGUUGUAGUAUUUUAGGUUGUCAAUCCAAAUGGGUGUGAUACUAACAAUCAAAAUGUGAUCAGAAGUCACUAAGUCAAGCCAAGCAAUAACAGGUUUCGGUGUGUUCUAGCAGUACUAAGUGAACAUGCAGAAAACAGAAAAUCAAACAGAAACAGUAAAACACUCGACCAACACAGCUCGUUGUAGAGCACUAGGUGUGGUCGAGUGAGUUGGUCGAGUAACAGGCCGUAAACGAAACAGGGAUACUCGACUGCACAGUCUAUUGCCAGACAACUGAGUGGUCGAGUAUCAGGUCGAGUAACAGGAGAGAAAUGCAAAAACUAAGCAACAGGUAACAAGAUGCAGUAAACAACAACAAAGUAAACAAUAAAAUCAAUCAGAUAAAGAAUUCCCGGGAUGGGAUAAUUGAGUAGUUUCAUUUCCUUAGGUUACAGGUGAUUGACAUGCUCAAAAAAU
This 587-nucleotide small RNA is filed under the name Arabidopsis thaliana (thale cress). RNAcentral describes it as "ATSL092640". The record is from RNAcentral. Lineage: Eukaryota; Viridiplantae; Streptophyta; Magnoliopsida; Brassicales; Brassicaceae.